Molecule: antisense RNA, 75 nt
Filed under: Frankia sp. R43
Lineage: Bacteria; Bacillati; Actinomycetota; Actinomycetes; Frankiales; Frankiaceae
Also listed under: 1 other name
Description: ASpks TB sRNA
Rfam family: ASpks TB sRNA
Source: Rfam by way of RNAcentral
CUUCAGCGAUCCCAGCCACAGCGGUUGCCGCGCCGGCCGGUCCCGGCCGUAGGUGGCGAUGAGCGCCUGGGCCUC